UAGGUGAUCUGUUCUGUUCGGACAAUAAUGACCAUUUACAUCGUAUCUUUUCUUUCUUAAGUACAACAUCUGGUCAACCCAUCUUCGACAGACUUUGACAAAAUGGUCCAGACCAGACAGAGCAAAGCAUAGAGAGCAGAGUAAUCAUGGAUGGAGAGCAAAAAGUGGUGUGUGUAACAGGAGCUUCCGGUUACAUAGCUUCGUGGGUGGUGAAGCUCUUACUGGAACGUGGAUACACUGUCAAAGCUUCUGUUCGAGACCCUAAUGAUCCAAAGAAGACAGAACACUUGCUUUCACUCAAUGGAGCUAAGGAAAGACUACAUUUGUUUAAAGCUGAUUUAUUGGAUGAAGGAGCUUUUGAUGCUUUAGUUGAUGGCUGUGAAGGCGUUUUCCAUACAGCAUCCCCUGUAACCUUUUCAGUCAAUGAUCCACAGGCAGAGCUAAUUGACCCUGCAGUGAAGGGAACAUUAAACGUUCUGAGAUCAUGUGCAAAAGCCCCUUCUGUAAAGCGAGUGGUUGUGACAUCUUCCAUGGCUUCAGUUGGAUUCAAUGGAAAACCUCUGGGCCCUGACGUGGUAAUUGAUGAGACAUGGUUUUCAGAUCCUGCAUAUUGUGAGCAGAUGAAGCUUUGGUAUAUGGUUUCAAAAACUCUAGCUGAAGAGGCUGCUUGGAAAUUUGCAAAAGAAAAUGGGAUUGACUUAAUCACACUACAUCCAGGACUUGUGAUUGGUCCUCUCUUACAGCCAACCGUUAACUUCUCUGUGGAGCCUAUUCUGAAUCUUACAACUGGAGCUCAAACCUUUCCCAACAUAGUUUAUAGAUUUGUUGAUGUUAGAGAUGUUGCAUAUGCACAUAUUCAAGCAUUUGAAGUUCCUUCUGCCAGUGGAAGAUAUUGUUUAUCUGGACGAGUUGCACACAUGAUUGAGGUUUUGAAGAUUUUGAAAGAACUCUACCCUUCCUUGGACCUUCCAGAAAAGUGUGAAGAUGACAAGCCCUUCAUGCUCUACGAAGUAUCCAAGGAGAAAGCAAAAAGUUUGGGUGUGAAUUUCAUUCCUUUGGAAGUGAGUCUUAAGGACACCGUUGAAAGUCUAAAGGAGAAGGGUUUCAUUAAUGCUUAGAUCAACGUCUUUGAACAAGAUGUGUUGGAAAACAAUAACAAGUAGAUCAUAUCUUGUUUUGUUACCCCAGUCUGCUGUAAUUUGUUAACAGAAAGGUUGGUACAAGUUUUCAGCUUUAUGGAACUUGAUUUUAGCCCCAUGAAUGCCUGUGGAAACUGAGAAGUUCAACCAUGUUAGCUUCACUGCAUGGAGUACAAAAUAAUCUGAACUUCCAGCUUUUUAGGAAAAUCCAAAUGCAUCAGUCUAGGAAGCAUGGAGAAGUGCUUAAAACUUUGUUUACUUCAAAUCUGAGGUAUUAUUGGAAGUACUUGAGUGGGCCAUGAAAGAUUCUUCAUUUAGUCUUUUCCCUCCAUCUCUUAGGAGCUAAAUAAACUGAAAAUCUGAUUUCGAAGAAGGAAACACCAUUUCCGUGGGGCUACACACCAUCACUACCCUGUUCUUAAAUAACUUGUAUUUUUGCAUUUAGCUAGAAGUGGUGAAAUUCUU
Ziziphus jujuba (common jujube) is the source of this 1604-nucleotide RNA transcript. It is a transcript of the gene named phenylacetaldehyde reductase-like, with no coding region annotated. NCBI's taxonomy places the organism in Eukaryota, Viridiplantae, Streptophyta, Magnoliopsida, Rosales, Rhamnaceae. The record is from RefSeq and is a predicted model, not a curated record. The transcript has 7 exons.